AAACUGAAGAGUUUGAUCAUGGCUCAGAUUGAACGCUGGCGGCAGGCUUAACACAUGCAAGUCGAGCGG
This 69-nucleotide non-coding RNA is filed under the name Pseudomonadota bacterium. RNAcentral describes it as "partial 16S ribosomal RNA". It matches the Rfam family "Bacterial small subunit ribosomal RNA", at positions 1 to 69 of the family's 1533-position model. The record is from RNAcentral. Lineage: Bacteria; Pseudomonadati; Pseudomonadota.